UGGGGAAUUUUGGACAAUGGGCGAAAGCCUGAUCCAGCAAUGCCGCGUGUGUGAAGAAGGCCUUCGGGUUGUAAAGCACUUUUGUCCGGAAAGAAAUCCUUGGCUCUAAUACAGUCGGGGGAUGACGGUACCGGAAGAAUAAGCACCGGCUAACUACGUGCCAGCAGCCGCGGUAAUACGUAGGGUGCAAGCGUUAAUCGGAAUUACUGGGCGUAAAAGCGUGCGCAGGCGGUUUGCUAAAGACCGAUGUGAAAAUCCCCGGGCUCAACCUGGGAACUGCAUUGGUGACUGGCAGGCUAGAGUAUGGCAGAGGGGGGUAGAAUUCCACGUGUAGCAGUGAAAAUGCGUAGAGAUGUGGAGGAAUACCGAUGGCGAAAGGCAGCCCCUGGCAAGUCAACUGACGCUCAUGCAACGAAAAGCGUGGGGGAGCAAAAACAGGAUUAGAUACCCUGGUAGUCCAC
RNAcentral lists this ribosomal RNA (461 nucleotides) under uncultured bacterium. RNAcentral's name for it is "partial 16S ribosomal RNA". It matches the Rfam family "Bacterial small subunit ribosomal RNA", at positions 355 to 798 of the family's 1533-position model. The record is from RNAcentral.